UCUCUCACCUUACCAUCGUCUCUCUCUCACCUUACCAUCGUCUCUCUCUCACCCACCUUAUACAGAACUCAACAACGACGCACCUUACCUUCGACGCAAGUGAAUCUCAACAACGAAAUCAUUCAUCUUCUUAAUUUCGUGAAUCUCAACAACGAAAUCUCAACAACGCAAGUGAAUCGCACCUUACCUUCGACGCAAGUGAAUCUCAACAACGAAAUCAUUCAUCUUCUUAGUUUCGUGAAUCUCAACAACGAAAUCUCAACAACGCAAGUGAAUCGCACCUUACCUUCGACGCAAGUGACUUUCAAAUUCGUUUUGUGAAGAUCUUCUCGAAGUCUUGUAGUUGCGUUUGAGGUGAAGAUCUGGAUUGCUAUGAAAUUAUAUGAAAUUCUCGAAGAUCUGAAAUUUCGACUGGAUUGCUAUGAAGAUUGCGUUUGAGUUUUGUAUUUUUAUUUUUAAUUUUAUCUCCCCUUCAUCUUCUGAUUAGGGUUAGAAUUUCUUUUUUCUAUUUUUGAUUUAGUUUCUUGAUUGUUCGUUUUAUUUUUAGAUCUGAUGAGGAUUAAUAGUUACGAUAAGUCCCAUAGUGGGUGGGCUAUUUUUAGAUCUGAUGAGGAUUAUUUUUAGAUCUGAUGAGGAUCGACAAUCAUCGUUCAUGGACAGGAUAAACUUGUGUUGGGUACCCUUCAAGAACUCGAGCUUUGGAAGGAGAAUGCGCUCAAAGAUGGGUUUGAAGUGGGAUAUAGAAAUCAUCUAAAUCUUUACAGAAAGGGAUUUACUGCUUGUAAAGAUUAACUCUGCACUCCUCUCUUCCUCAUAACUCAGCUGUAUUUUUUUCAAUUAAAAUUAUAUAAAACCAUGUAACUUCUAGUAUUUUUUGCUGUUUUUAAAUUUAGAUCUGAUGAUUUAUAAAACAGUUGUAUUCGGGUUUUUUGAUUGUUUCAAUUGUUUAUUAUCAUCAAGUUGUAUUUUA
This is a long non-coding RNA of Beta vulgaris subsp. vulgaris (sugar beet), 970 nucleotides long. RefSeq lists it as uncharacterized. The transcript has 2 exons. NCBI's taxonomy places the organism in Eukaryota, Viridiplantae, Streptophyta, Magnoliopsida, Caryophyllales, Amaranthaceae. The record is from RefSeq and is a predicted model, not a curated record.